CCUACGGGCGGCAGCAGUGAGGAAUAUUGGUCAAUGGCCGGAAGGCUGAACCCGCAAAUCCGCGUGAAGGACGAAGGUGCCAAGCAUUGUAAACUUAUUUUGUCACGUGACAAAAUCAGGCUCGAGAGCCUGACCGAGGGGACUUGAAGAAAAAGCAUCGGGUAACUCCGUGCAAGCAGCCGCGGUAAUCCGGAGGCUGCGAGCUGUAUCCGGAUUUAUUGGGUUUAACGGGUGCGUAGGCGGACUGUUAGGUCAGCGUGAAAAGCCCGGGGCUCAACCCCGGCGAGCCGUUGAAACUGGCUGGCUUGAGAUGUCGAGAGGUAUGCGGAAUGCGCAGUGUAGCGGUGAAAUGCGUAGAUAUUGCGCAGAACUCCGAUCGCGAAGGCAGCAUACCGGCGGCGAUCUGACGCUGAGGCACGAAAGCGUGGGUAUCGAACAGGAUUAGAUACCCUUGUAGUC
This 459-nucleotide ribosomal RNA is filed under the name uncultured bacterium. RNAcentral describes it as "partial 16S ribosomal RNA". It matches the Rfam family "Bacterial small subunit ribosomal RNA", at positions 338 to 795 of the family's 1533-position model. The record is from RNAcentral.